Non-coding RNA from Chelonoidis abingdonii (Abingdon island giant tortoise), 256 nucleotides. NCBI's taxonomy places the organism in Eukaryota, Metazoa, Chordata, Testudines, Testudinidae. The record is from RefSeq and is a predicted model, not a curated record.
AGGGGCUGGAGCAGCCGGGGCGGAAGCCGGGAAACAAAGGAGAGAGACACGGGGCAGCCCCCGGGCGGGGCGGUACGAGCCGCUGCUCCCCGGGGUCCGUGCUAGGGGGGGGGAUUAACCCCUCCCUGCCCGGCCGGGGGGGAUUUCUCCAGCUGGGACCAGCCCCGGAGCCAGCGGCUGCAGUUCAUCCCAGCCUCCUGUGGGACAGGGCAGGGAAAUGGCUGAGGUGGAGCCCGUUCAGGGGCCAGUGACCUUC